RNAcentral lists this ribosomal RNA (253 nucleotides) under uncultured bacterium. Its description in RNAcentral is "partial 16S ribosomal RNA". It matches the Rfam family "Bacterial small subunit ribosomal RNA", at positions 524 to 776 of the family's 1533-position model. The record is from RNAcentral.
UACAGAGGUCUCAAGCGUUGUUCGGAUUCAUUGGGCGUAAAGGGUGCGUAGGCGGCGCGGUAAGUCGGGUGUGAAAUCUCCAGGCUUAACUUGGAAACUGCCAUUGAUACUAUCAGUCUUGAAUACCGUGGAGGUCAGCGGAAUAUGUCAUGUAGCGGUGAAAUGCUUAGAUAUGACAUAGAACACCAAUUGCGAAGGCAGCUGGCUACACGAAUAUUGACACUGAUGCACGAAAGCGUGGGGAUCAAACAGG